RNAcentral lists this ribosomal RNA (325 nucleotides) under uncultured eukaryote. RNAcentral's name for it is "partial 18S ribosomal RNA". It matches the Rfam family "Eukaryotic small subunit ribosomal RNA", at positions 1470 to 1796 of the family's 1831-position model. The record is from RNAcentral.
CCCUUAGAUGUCCUGGGCUGCACGCGCGCUACACUGAUGUGUCCAGUAAGCACCUAACCUCUUCCGAAAGGAACGGGUAACCUUUGCAAAGCACAUCGUGAUGGGGAUAGAUUAUUGCAAUUAUUAGUCUUGAACGAGGAAUUCCUAGUAAGCACAAGUCAUCAGCUUGUGUUGAUUACGUCCCUGCCCUUUGUACACACCGCCCGUCGCUCCUACCGAUUGAAUGCUCAGGUGAGCCAUUCGGACUUUCAUCAUGCUGGUUUCCAGUUUUGAUGAAGGAAAGUCUUGCGAACCUUAUCAUUUAGAGGAAGUAAAAGUCGUAACA